GGUGUCUGAUGACAUUCGUGAGCUGGUUCGAAUGUUCCAGAGACUAAGUCUGGAGGAGCAAGAAGAAAGAAUGGACAUUGAUGAGAUGGUGUCUGAUGACAUUCGUGAGCUGGUUGGAAUGUUCCAGAGUCUAAGUCUGGAGGAGCAAGAAGAAAGAAUGGAUAUUGAUGAGAAUCCACAUAAUGGCAUUAGAGAGAUCAGUGGAUCCGUCGAGAACCUAACUCUGGAGGAAGAAGAAGAAAUGGAGGUGGAUGAUGAUGCAGAGGAGAUGGAUGUGGAUAUGCAGGAUUAGGACGAGCUGGACACAGUGGUGCAAAUGUGGGACAACCAUCGCAUUCGUCCGGGGAGGAAUGGGCGUGAUCUCUACCAGGGCAAGCCAGUGAUGAUGUACAACAGGGGUCACCAAACUUUUUUCUCUGGGGGCCACAUUGUCGUUCCUGACUGUGAUGGGGGGCCGGGGUCGGGUCAGCUAUAUAAC
This is a long non-coding RNA of Neoarius graeffei (lesser salmon catfish), 478 nucleotides long. RefSeq lists it as uncharacterized. The record is from RefSeq and is a predicted model, not a curated record. The transcript is spliced from 4 exons. NCBI's taxonomy places the organism in Eukaryota, Metazoa, Chordata, Actinopteri, Siluriformes, Ariidae.